This 253-nucleotide ribosomal RNA is filed under the name uncultured bacterium. RNAcentral describes it as "partial 16S ribosomal RNA". It matches the Rfam family "Bacterial small subunit ribosomal RNA", at positions 524 to 776 of the family's 1533-position model. The record is from RNAcentral.
UACGUAGGGGGCAAGCGUUGUCCGGAUUCAUUGGGCGUAAAGAGCGUGUAGGCGGCCAGGUAGGUCGGUUGUGAAAACUCGAGGCUUAACCUCGAGAUGUCAUCGGAAACCAUCUGGCUAGAGUCCGGAAGAGGAGAGUGGAAUUCCUGGUGUAGCGGUGAAAUGCGCAGAUAUCAGGAAGAACACCAAUGGCGAAAGCAGCUCUCUGGGACGGUACUGACGCUGAGACGCGAAAGCGUGGGGAGCGAACAGG